AGCGAACGCUGGCGGCAGGCUUAACACAUGCAAGUCGAGCGGGCAUCCUUGUGGUGUCAGCGGCAGACGGGUGAGUAACGCGUGGGAACGUGCCCUUCGGUUCGGAAUAACUCAGGGAAACUUGAGCUAAUACCGGAUACGUGCGAGAGCAGAAAGGUUUAUCUGCCGAAGGAUCGGCCCGCGUCUGAUUAGCUAGUUGGUGAGGUUACGGCUCACCAAGGCGACGAUCAGUAGCUGGUCUGAGAGGAUGAUCAGCCACACUGGGACUGAGACACGGCCCAGACUCCUACGGGAGGCAGCAGUGGGGAAUAUUGGACAAUGGGGGCAACCCUGAUCCAGCCCUGCCGCGUGAGUGAUGACGGCAUUAGGGUUGUAAAGCUCUUUUCUCCGGGACGAUAAUGACGGUACCGGAGGAAUAAGCCCCGGCUAACUUCGUG
Molecule: ribosomal RNA, 437 nt
Filed under: uncultured bacterium
Lineage: Bacteria
Description: partial 16S ribosomal RNA
Rfam family: Bacterial small subunit ribosomal RNA
Source: RNAcentral